RNAcentral lists this ribosomal RNA (490 nucleotides) under uncultured bacterium. RNAcentral describes it as "partial 16S ribosomal RNA". It matches the Rfam family "Bacterial small subunit ribosomal RNA", at positions 28 to 507 of the family's 1533-position model. The record is from RNAcentral.
GAUGAACGCUAGCUACAGGCUUAACACAUGCAAGUCGCGGGGCAGCAUGGGGGUUGCUUGCAAUCCCCGAUGGCGACCGGCGCACGGGUGAGUAACGCGUAUCCAACCUGCCCUUCACCACGGGAUAACCCGGCGAAAGUCGGACUAAUACCGUAUGUUGUCCAUUGACGGCAUCCGAUUUGGACGAAAGGUUUGGCGGUGAAGGAUGGGGAUGCGUCCGAUUAGCUGGACGGCGGGGUGACGGCCCACCGUGGCGACGAUCGGUAGAGGUUCUGAGAGGAAGGUCCCCCACACUGGAACUGAGACACGGUCCAGACUCCUACGGGAGGCAGCAGUGAGGAAUAUUGGUCAAUGGGCGUAAGCCUGAACCAGCCAAGUAGCGUGCAGGAUGACGGCCCUAUGGGUUGUAAACUGCUUUUAUGCGGGGAUAAAGUGGCCCACGUGUGGGUUUUUGCAGGUACCGCAUGAAUAAGGACCGGCUAAUUCCGUG